GAGUUUGAUCCUGGCUCAGAGUGAACGCUGGCGGCAGGCCUAACACAUGCAAGUCGAACGGCAGCACAGGAGAGCCUGCUCUCUGGGUGGCGAGUGGCGGACGGGUGAGGAAUACAUCGGAAUCUACCCUGUCGUGGGGGAUAACGUAGGGAAACUUACGCUAAUACCGCAUACGACCUCCGGGUGAAAGCAGGGGAUCGAAAGACCUUGCGCGAUUGGAUGAGCCGAUGUCCGAUUAGCUAGUUGGCGGGGUAAAGGCCCACCAAGGCGACGAUCGGUAGCUGGUCUGAGAGGAUGAUCAGCCACACUGGAACUGAGACACGGUCCAGACUCCUACGGGAGGCAGCAGUGGGGAAUAUUGGACAAUGGGCGAAAGCCUGAUCCAGCCAUGCCGCGUGGGUGAAGAAGGCCUUCGGGUUGUAAAGCCCUUUGUUGGGAAAGAAAACUUUCCGGUUAAUACCCGGAGAGAAUGACGGUACCCAAAGAAUAAGCACCGGCUAACUUCGUG
RNAcentral lists this ribosomal RNA (508 nucleotides) under uncultured Lysobacteraceae bacterium. Its description in RNAcentral is "bacterial SSU rRNA". It matches the Rfam family "Bacterial small subunit ribosomal RNA", at positions 9 to 507 of the family's 1533-position model. The record is from RNAcentral. Lineage: Bacteria; Pseudomonadati; Pseudomonadota; Gammaproteobacteria; Lysobacterales; Lysobacteraceae.